Non-coding RNA from Pelobates cultripes (western spadefoot toad), 336 nucleotides. The record is from the annotation of a GenBank genome assembly. NCBI's taxonomy places the organism in Eukaryota, Metazoa, Chordata, Amphibia, Anura, Pelobatidae.
UGGCAGUAAAACACGAUGAAACACCAUUUAAUAAAAACGAGUGUGGAGAAGGAACAAAACUUAAUUUCUCAAACUUUAAAGGUUAUUCAGAUUAAAUUCGGUUUCAUUUGUAAAUAUUUGAUGACUUAAAGUCCUAUUACGUGUGUAUGAACUUCAUGUAAGGGAACUAACUUGUGGUUGCACAGACAAAUCAUAGGUUCAGAACUUGAGCAAUUGACUUCAUCCUUAAAUGACCACUAGGCAGACAGCCCACUUCAGCUCAAUUAACUGGUCUAAGUGCCAGGUUUACAUUAGAUGGUUAAUCCAGAUUCUAGUGGCUUUUUCCCUUACAGCCAC